RNAcentral lists this ribosomal RNA (253 nucleotides) under uncultured bacterium. RNAcentral describes it as "partial 16S ribosomal RNA". It matches the Rfam family "Bacterial small subunit ribosomal RNA", at positions 524 to 776 of the family's 1533-position model. The record is from RNAcentral.
UACAGAGGGGGCAAGCGUUGUUCGGAAUUACUGGGCGUAAAGGGCGCGUAGGCGGCCUGCUAAGUCGAACGUGAAAUCCCUGGGCUCAACCCAGGAACUGCGUCCGAUACUGGUUGGCUUGAAUCCGGGAGAGGGACGUGGAAUUCCAGGUGUAGCGGUGAAAUGCGUAGAUAUCUGGAGGAACACCGGUGGCGAAGGCGGCAUCCUGGACCGGCAUUGACGCUGAGGCGCGAAAGCUAGGGGAGCAAACGGG